AGCAGCCGCGGUAAUUCCAGCUCCAAUAGCGUAUAUUAAAGUUGUUGCAGUUAAAAAGCUCGUAGUUGAAUUUCGGGAUUGACGUGAUGGUCAUGCCUUAAGGGGUAUGAACUGUUACUGUUGAUUUCUCACCUUCUGGAGAAACUUGAUGUCCUUUAUUGGGUGUCUUGCGGAUCCAGGACCUUUACCUUGAAAAAAUUAGAGUGUUUAAAGCAGGCAUUUUUUGCUCGAAUACAUUAGCAUGGAAUAAUAGAAUAGGACGGCAUGGUUCUAUUUUGUUGGUUUCUAGGAUCACCGUAAUGAUUAAUAGGGAUAGUUGGGGGCAUUAGUAUUCAAUUGUCAGAGGUGAAAUUCUUGGAUUUAUUGAAGACUAACUACUGCGAAAGCAUUUGCCAAGGAUGUUUUCAUUAAUCAAGAACGAAAGUUAGGGGAUCGAAGACGAUCAGAUACCGUCGUAGUCUUAACCAUAAACUAUGCCGACUA
RNAcentral lists this ribosomal RNA (483 nucleotides) under uncultured Entrophospora. Its description in RNAcentral is "SSU rRNA". It matches the Rfam family "Eukaryotic small subunit ribosomal RNA", at positions 569 to 1048 of the family's 1831-position model. Lineage: Eukaryota; Fungi; Glomeromycota; Glomeromycetes; Entrophosporales; Entrophosporaceae. The record is from RNAcentral.